This 326-nucleotide long non-coding RNA is filed under the name Monodelphis domestica (gray short-tailed opossum). RNAcentral's name for it is "lncRNA (ENSMODG00000039626.1)". The record is from RNAcentral. Lineage: Eukaryota; Metazoa; Chordata; Mammalia; Didelphimorphia; Didelphidae.
GUUGGCUUUGGAAUCUGACUUGGAAUCUGUUCAGAGGAGCAGAGUGGAGCUGAGGAGCUGGUUCUGGUUUGAAGAGAAGGUCAGCCAGGAAAUAUGGACUAGAACUUUUAGGAGACUUCUGUAUUAUCUUUUGCAACAUAGCCAAUGUGGAAAUGUUUUGAAAGACUGCACUCAUUUAAUCUAUAUCAAAAUGCUUGCUUUCUCAAAGAAGAAGGGAAGGAAGAGAAGUAAGCAAUUUAGAACUCAAAAAUUAUGAAAAACUAAUGUUAAAAUUGUUUUACAUGAAAUUGAGAAUAAAUAAAAUGUAGACAUUCUUACUUUUUUCA